GGGAAGCUGCCAUCAAGUGUCGGCUCUGUGGUCUCAUCUGAAAGCUCGACUGGGUGGGAUCCCCUUCCAAGUUCAUUCACGUGGUUGUACAUGAGGAAGUAGUUCCUGUCGGUUGUCGGGCUGAGGCCAUCCUCAGGGCCUUGACACAGAGCCUCCUUAACACACUAAUUUCCUUCAUCAAAGCUAGCAAGAGGGAGAGUCUGUCUUUUGUAAUCUAAUCCCAGAGUGACAUCCUCAACGUGGCCACAUUCUGUUGUGAGAAGGGAGCUACUCAAGGAUCGAGGAUCACUCUGGCCAUGCAUUCCAGGAGCGGGACUCAGGGGACCAUCUUAGAUGCCAUCCGCAACCACAGAAGUAGGUAACAGAGUCUCAACACUCAAGAUUCCAGAACCAGAAAAAGAUGCACACAUGGGGAAUUCUGCCCGCCGCUCCCGCCUGCCCGCCAACGCCCUUCCUGUCGCCCACUGCUGGGGCUACUUCUUGGUAGCCUCCCAGGACGCCGAUGCAUGUGUGAGCACAUAUCUUUGCUCCCGCUCCUUUUCUCAUACACAGGGCAGCACACUAUGCCCACCAGCCUGCAACUUUUUUUUUUUAAUUGUGGUGAGAGCACUUAUUGUGAGCUCUUCCCUCUUAGUGGAUUCUUCUUCUGAACUAACCAUAGGUGUGCUGCACACCCCUAGAGUAUCAUUUUACAUCCCUGAAACUCUAUACCCA
Molecule: long non-coding RNA, 714 nt
Filed under: Mustela putorius furo (domestic ferret)
Lineage: Eukaryota; Metazoa; Chordata; Mammalia; Carnivora; Mustelidae
Description: lncRNA (ENSMPUG00000025127.1)
Source: RNAcentral